Molecule: unclassified non-coding RNA, 208 nt
Filed under: uncultured fungus
Lineage: Eukaryota; Fungi
Description: sequence contains ITS1
Source: RNAcentral
UUAGUUUAUUUAACUAUAUUCAGAUUUAACAUGGUUAAAAGAGUUUAUUAGGGGCUACAGACGAGCGCUGGCCAGAGGUCGAAGACCCCCGGCGGUCCGGUGAAAGACGGGCCCGCCAAAGCAACAUGGUGUUUAUACAAAGGGUUGGAGAUCGAGCCUGGAAGACCCUAACUCAGUAAUGAUCCUUCCGCAGGUUCACCUACGGAAA